UGCCAGCCGCCGCGGUAACACGGGGGGCGCAAGCGUUAUUCGGAAUUACUGGGCGUAAAGGGUGCGCAGGCGGCGUCGCCAGUCAGGUGUGAAAUCCCCGGGCUCAACCCGGGAACUGCACUUGAUACUGCGAUGCUAGAGUUCGGAAGAGGGUAGUGGAAUUCCCAGUGUAGAGGUGAAAUUCGUAGAUAUUGGGAAGAACACCAGUGGCGAAGGCGGCUCUCUGGUCCAUACCUGACGCUGAGGCGCGAAAGCGUGGGGAGCAAACAGGAUUAGAUA
This 279-nucleotide ribosomal RNA is filed under the name uncultured bacterium. Its description in RNAcentral is "partial 16S ribosomal RNA". It matches the Rfam family "Bacterial small subunit ribosomal RNA", at positions 506 to 784 of the family's 1533-position model. The record is from RNAcentral.